GACGAACGCUUUCGGCGUGCUUAACACAUGCAAGUCGAGCGGUAAGGCCUUUCGGGGUACACGAGCGGCGAACGGGUGAGUAACACGUGGGUGAUCUGCCCUGCACUCUGGGAUAAGCUUGGGAAACUGGGUCUAAUACCGGAUAUGACCACAGCAUGCAUGUGUUGUGGUGGAAAGAUUUAUCGGUGCAGGAUGGGCCCGCGGCCUAUCAGCUUGUUGGUGGGGUAAUGGCCUACCAAGGCGACGACGGGUAGCCGACCUGAGAGGGUGACCGGCCACACUGGGACUGAGACACGGCCCAGACUCCUACGGGAGGCAGCAGUGGGGAAUAUUGCACAAUGGGCGGAAGCCUGAUGCAGCGACGCCGCGUGAGGGAUGAAGGCCUUCGGGUUGUAAACCUCUUUCAGCAGGGACGAAGCGUGAGUGACGGUACCUGCAGAAGAAGCACCGGCUAACUACGUGCCAGCAGCCGCGGUAAUACGUAGGGUGCGAGCGUUGUCCGGAAUUACUGGGCGUAAAGAGUUCGUAGGCGGUUUGUCGCGUCGUUUGUGAAAACCCGGGGCUCAACUUCGGGCUUGCAGGCGAUACGGGCAGACUUGAGUGUUUCAGGGGAGACUGGAAUUCCUGGUGUAGCGGUGAAAUGCGCAGAUAUCAGGAGGAACACCGGUGGCGAAGGCGGGUCUCUGGGAAACAACUGACGCUGAGGAACGAAAGCGUGGGUAGCAAACAGGAUUAGAUACCCUGGUAGUCCACGCCGUAAACGGUGGGCGCUAGGUGUGGGUUCCUUCCACGGGAUCUGUGCCGUAGCUAACGCAUUAAGCGCCCCGCCUGGGGAGUACGGCCGCAAGGCUAAAACUCAAAGGAAUUGACGGGGGCCCGCACAAGCGGCGGAGCAUGUGGAUUAAUUCGAUGCAACGCGAAGAACCUUACCUGGGUUUGACAUACACCGGAAAACCGUAGAGAUACGGUCCCCCUUGUGGUCGGUGUACAGGUGGUGCAUGGCUGUCGCCAGCUCGUGUCGUGAGAUGUUGGGUUAAGUCCCGCAACGAGCGCAACCCUUGUCUUAUGUUGCCAGCACGUAAUGGUGGGGACUCGUAAGAGACUGCCGGGGUCAACUCGGAGGAAGGUGGGGACGACGUCAAGUCAUCAUGCCCCUUAUGUCCAGGGCUUCACACAUGCCACAAUGGCCAGUACAGAGGGCUGCGAGACCGUGAGGUGGAGCGAAUCCCUUAAAGCUGGUCUCAGUUCGGAUCGGGGUCUGCAACUCGACCCCGUGAAGUCGGAGUCGCUAGUAAUCGCAGAUCAGCAACGCUGCGGUGAAUACGUUCCCGGGCCC
This 1336-nucleotide ribosomal RNA is filed under the name uncultured bacterium. RNAcentral describes it as "bacterial SSU rRNA". It matches the Rfam family "Bacterial small subunit ribosomal RNA", at positions 28 to 1381 of the family's 1533-position model. The record is from RNAcentral.